RNAcentral lists this long non-coding RNA (1052 nucleotides) under Marmota monax (woodchuck). The record is from RNAcentral. Lineage: Eukaryota; Metazoa; Chordata; Mammalia; Rodentia; Sciuridae.
GUUCUCAAAACUUAUGUGGCUACCAAUAAGAAAAGAAUUAGGGAAGCUUUGAACAUAUCUUGUACUUUUCAUCAAGGCUAAAGUGCAAAAUAUCUCCAUAUUUCUGAUAUUUUAAUAGGGUAAAAAAAUCAAACACAUAAUAAAGCAACUAAAGUGACAGUAGGAACUAAUACAAAAAGCUUAAAUAAACAAUUGAGGACUACGUAUUACUAUCAAUUUAAUUUUUCUUUCUUCAGUGAAAUAUGUCAAUGACCCAUGUGCUCAUAGAACUUAAGGUUUUGAUUCUCUUCCCCAAGACCAGAACAUGUAAACUUACAGGGAGGAAAAAAGGAAAAAAAAAAUAACAUUGCAUGACAAUGGACACCAAGUUCAUAAAGAACCUCUUUUAAAAAUGAGAUAUUAUGGAAGAAAAUACCAUGAAAAUAAUAAUCCUAUGAGAAUUGUUUUUAAGCACAGUAAGUUUGAGCCUCAGUCUUCAUGAAGAUACUACAGUUUAUAUAGAAAACUAUAAAUAUACAAGACUCCAAGGAAAAAAAGUCAGAAUACAUAUUAACAAUCUGUAGGCCUAAAAAACUUUUGAGGGGAGACGGAAAGGGACGGCCAACUGAAUCUUCACUUAAGAAUACAGGACUAUGAAAAAUUCCCAGGUCAAAGGUGCUCCCAAUGGAACCAAACUUUGUGAUAGCACAAAACUUAGAUAUAUUCUUCAAAGCAAAGCAAAAGUACUGAAUAACUAUAGUCCCUUCCAAAAAGUAAAUCUUAAAUUAAAGGGAAAUGAUUCUAAAAGUAUAAACGAGUCUGGCUCAGAAAGAAAAAUUGAACAACAUAUCCAAGAUCUGUCCAUAAAAGUAAUGAUAGUACAUCUUUAAUAUUAAAGAAACAGGCUAUAAAAAAGUUCAGUCUCAGAAUUGGAUUUAAAAGCUCAUUUGUGCUCCUUGGUGGGUGCGUAAUAAAGUUCCAUGGGUUUAUUCACUUUCCAGUACUUCUCACUGACCAAUUCCAAAGAAAAAGAGCCAUUUAAUACAGUGAACUGGCCACUUGCUACAUCCCAG